RNAcentral lists this ribosomal RNA (1419 nucleotides) under Staphylococcus edaphicus. Its description in RNAcentral is "bacterial SSU rRNA". It matches the Rfam family "Bacterial small subunit ribosomal RNA". The record is from RNAcentral. Lineage: Bacteria; Bacillati; Bacillota; Bacilli; Caryophanales; Staphylococcaceae.
GCAAGUCGAGCGAACAGAUAAGGAGCUUGCUCCUUUGACGUUAGCGGCGGACGGGUGAGUAACACGUGGGUAACCUACCUAUAAGACUGGGAUAACUUCGGGAAACCGGAGCUAAUACCGGAUAACAUUUGGAACCGCAUGGUUCUAAAGUGAAAGAUGGUUUUGCUAUCACUUAUAGAUGGACCCGCGCCGUAUUAGCUAGUUGGUAAGGUAACGGCUUACCAAGGCGACGAUACGUAGCCGACCUGAGAGGGUGAUCGGCCACACUGGAACUGAGACACGGUCCAGACUCCUACGGGAGGCAGCAGUAGGGAAUCUUCCGCAAUGGGCGAAAGCCUGACGGAGCAACGCCGCGUGAGUGAUGAAGGGUUUCGGCUCGUAAAACUCUGUUAUUAGGGAAGAACAAACGUGUAAGUAACUGUGCACGUCUUGACGGUACCUAAUCAGAAAGCCACGGCUAACUACGUGCCAGCAGCCGCGGUAAUACGUAGGUGGCAAGCGUUAUCCGGAAUUAUUGGGCGUAAAGCGCGCGUAGGCGGUUUCUUAAGUCUGAUGUGAAAGCCCACGGCUCAACCGUGGAGGGUCAUUGGAAACUGGGAAACUUGAGUGCAGAAGAGGAAAGUGGAAUUCCAUGUGUAGCGGUGAAAUGCGCAGAGAUAUGGAGGAACACCAGUGGCGAAGGCGACUUUCUGGUCUGUAACUGACGCUGAUGUGCGAAAGCGUGGGGAUCAAACAGGAUUAGAUACCCUGGUAGUCCACGCCGUAAACGAUGAGUGCUAAGUGUUAGGGGGUUUCCGCCCCUUAGUGCUGCAGCUAACGCAUUAAGCACUCCGCCUGGGGAGUACGACCGCAAGGUUGAAACUCAAAGGAAUUGACGGGGACCCGCACAAGCGGUGGAGCAUGUGGUUUAAUUCGAAGCAACGCGAAGAACCUUACCAAAUCUUGACAUCCUUUGAAAACUCUAGAGAUAGAGCCUUCCCCUUCGGGGGACAAAGUGACAGGUGGUGCAUGGUUGUCGUCAGCUCGUGUCGUGAGAUGUUGGGUUAAGUCCCGCAACGAGCGCAACCCUUAAGCUUAGUUGCCAUCAUUAAGUUGGGCACUCUAGGUUGACUGCCGGUGACAAACCGGAGGAAGGUGGGGAUGACGUCAAAUCAUCAUGCCCCUUAUGAUUUGGGCUACACACGUGCUACAAUGGACAAUACAAAGGGCAGCUAAACCGCGAGGUCAUGCAAAUCCCAUAAAGUUGUUCUCAGUUCGGAUUGUAGUCUGCAACUCGACUACAUGAAGCUGGAAUCGCUAGUAAUCGUAGAUCAGCAUGCUACGGUGAAUACGUUCCCGGGUCUUGUACACACCGCCCGUCACACCACGAGAGUUUGUAACACCCGAAGCCGGUGGAGUAACCAUUUAUGGAGCUAGCCG